RNAcentral lists this ribosomal RNA (440 nucleotides) under uncultured bacterium. RNAcentral's name for it is "partial 16S ribosomal RNA". It matches the Rfam family "Bacterial small subunit ribosomal RNA", at positions 338 to 795 of the family's 1533-position model. The record is from RNAcentral.
CCUACGGGUGGCAGCAGUGAGGGAUAUUGGUCAAUGGGGGAAACCCUGAACCAGCAACGCCGCGUGAGGGAAGACGGUUUUCGGAUUGUAAACCUCUGUCCUCUGUGAAGAUAAUGACGGUAGCAGAGGAGGAAGCUCCGGCUAACUACGUGCCAGCAGCCGCGGUAAUACGUAGGGAGCAAGCGUUGUCCGGAUUUACUGGGUGUAAAGGGUGCGUAGGCGGCCCUGCAAGUCAGAAGUGAAAUCCACGGGCUCAACCCGUGAACUGCAUUUGAAACUGUUUCCCUUGAGUGUCGGAGAGGUAAUCGGAAUUCCUUGUGUAGCGGUGAAAUGCGUAGAUAUAAGGAAGAACACCAGUGGCGAAGGCGGAUUACUGGACGAUAACUGACGGUGAGGCGCGAAAGCGUGGGGAGCAAACAGGAUUAGAUACCCGGGUAGUC